Molecule: long non-coding RNA, 581 nt
Organism: Pomacea canaliculata
Lineage: Eukaryota; Metazoa; Mollusca; Gastropoda; Architaenioglossa; Ampullariidae
Exons: 3
Source: RefSeq, a predicted model, not a curated record
GAAUGCUUUACUGAUGAAAUUUGCAUGCAGUGGCGAUGAGAGCAGUGUCUUUGACUGCAACCAGACACCAUUCGGAAUAGAAAAUGUCUGUAAAAACUCGGACGUUGACUGCAGUGAAUCACCUUCUGUUUAUAUUAUGCCCGACAAAGAAACGUACCCGAUGACGGAGGGAAAAAAACAUAGUUCUAAAAUGUUGGAUCUUAUACAAAUAUCAACCAGCGAAUGAAUAUACCUGGAUAGAGACAGCAAAUGGUCAACCGUCUGGUGCCGAUCUAAUUUUUGACAAUCUGACCAGAAGCCACAAUGGACGCCGUGUGAAAUGCACGGCCAGCUUUACAGUCGAUGGUCAAAAUAUUCGCGUGUCUAGUGAGGCGCUGGUACUGCAGGUGUAUUAUAAACCUCUCAUAAGAGUAACUCGCAAUGACAGCGUGACAACAUCAAAGCAGAAUUAUAUGGAUCCUUCAAAAAUAACACCAGGAGCAAAUAUUAUCUUUUGGUGUGAAGCUGACAGCAAUCCCCCUCCUGAGUCCAUCACGUGGUCUGGUAGAGUAAACAGUACUACUGGACAAUUACAGAUCACA